ACCUGAGAUCGUCGAUUCUGCGGAUCCAUCUCGGCUCGUCUUGAUUGAAUUGAAUCGUCUUGAUUGAACACAUGAACAUGUGCGGUUCAAUAUCAACCAAUAAGAUUCCAUGUACGAUGUCGCGUUUUCAUUGGUCAGUCGUUGAAGCCUUUUCUGAUUGGUUGUUGCCGUUUUGACAGCGUUUAUGCCAAGAGCAAAGAGAAAGAAAUCGAAGAGAAGAGUACUUGGGCAUGCGCGAACGCACGGGACACAGUCUAAGCACAAACACGCUUACUUUAAGCGAAGAGGAGAGAUUCGCGAUUGCAAUGAACACGUUUUAAGUGCAGGCAUAUUCUCUGAGCGAGCGCAGAGAAAAUUCUUUCAAGAGCAGCGUGUAUCUGAGAGCGCGCGCCCAGUUCCCGCGCGCGAGCAGAGGGAUUCGCGCUCGGCGCAUUAUAUUCCGCGCGCGAGCAGAGGGAUUCGCGCUCGCGCAUAACAUUAAUGUACUUUCGCGCUACAAUAAUGCGCUCUCGACAUUUGACAGGGAAAUAACGCCAUACCUAUCUGGAAGUAGCAGUCCAAGUUGGGACCUGUGGGGACAUAUCUGGAAGUGGCAGUCCAAGUUGGGACCUAUCUGGAGGUGGCAGUCCAAGUUGGGACAUAUCUGGAAGUGGGAGACCCAGUGGGGACAUAUCUGGUUCUGGAAAAAGUGGCGAUGGAUCAGAAGAAAGAAAGUCAUUCGCAUCUAGGAUGGCUUGAGGAUUAUCCUUGGAUACUACUACUGCUGGUGAUUGACCUUUGCCUGUUUACCUGCUUUCAUUAUUAUUAAUAAAGCUGCACAUGGAUCUCAACUCCGAUGACUCAUCAUUACAGUGGCAAAGAACACAAAAACCCAUAAAAUGUUGGUUAAUGAAAAAUAACCUUGGGAGAAACCGGGCUUGGUUCCUCUCUGGCUAACCAGCAUGAAUAUAAUGCCAGUAUUAGGCAUUUAUGUCCAGUGCAGAUCAUGUUUUAUGGUUAGUAAACUAAGUAAAUGUUAAGGUCCAGUGUUUAAAAAAAAAAAAAACUAUUUAUGAACUAAGAUUAAUGACUAAUGUCUUUGUAGUCCAUCUUAGAUUAACUGCAGUUCACAUAGAUGCAUUGUCCUUGGCAUUAAAUUAUAGUCUAUGUAUUCCAUUUCAAGAGUGUAGUCCAUCAAUAGACAAACGUGAUUCAGACAGAGAUCAAUAAGGUGCAUAGCAGUUCAACCGGCAGGUCAUUUCGGUGGGUUCCAUCCUAAAUCCAAGCUUUAGGAAGUGGCAUAUGAAGUAACUGAUGUCUUACAGUUGUAGUUGGCAUCAGUUCAUCCUCUGAAGUCCAUCGUAAAAGACUGAAGUGAUGUCUGGCUAGCACCGGCUGCAUUUAGUCAUCACACAGAGACAAAAAGCAGUGGAGUCCGACACCAAGCAAGAACAGAGCUGGAUCUGGCUGGCUCUGGUAACCUCGGAAUAUGGAAACAAAUAGAAUAAUAUUAGCAUAGAUGUCAUUACAUUUUAUGAAGAGUUAUAAAUCAUGAUAGAUGUUUCUGGUUCUGUCAGACCUAAUUAAAGCAGCAUAAUUGUGAGUUGAUGGAUAACUUAGGUGAAUGCCUGGCUAAAUAGAUGAGUCUUUAGUCUAGACUCAAACUGAGUGAGUGUGUCUGCAUCUCAAACAGUGUUAGAGACUAUUCCAUAGUUUAGGAGCUAAAUAAGAAAAGGAUCUACCUCCUUUUGUGAAUUUUGAUAUUCUAGGAACUGUUAAAAAGCCAGAAUUUUGCGAUUGUAAUGAAAAUGAUGGAACAUAGCAUGUCAGAAGGUCACUUAAUUACUGUGGAGCUAGACCAUUCAAAGCUUUGUAUGUAGUUAACAGAAUUUUUAAAUGAAUACGAAAUUUAACAGGUAGCCAUUGUAUCAAUGACAAAAUGUGAUCAUAUUUCUUGGUUUUGGUCAGCACUCUGGCAGCUGCAUUUUUAACCAAUUGAAAUGUAUUUAUUGAACCUGCCAGUAAUGCAUUACAAUAAUUCUGUCAUAUAAUUCAUUAUAUAUGUUAUAAUUCAUUAUAAUAAUCUAGUCUUGAAAUCAUGAAUGCAUGAAUAAAUUCUUUGGCAUCAGCAACAGAGAGCAUGUGUCAUUAUUUUAAGAGGUUUUUGGUCCAAUAAUUAGUACCUGUUUUGUUGGAAUUGAGUAGAAGGAAAUUUCUGGCCAUCCAAUCUUUGAUUUCAUUGAUACACUAAUUUGGAGAAUUGUGAAUUGUUGUUGGGUUUGAGUCUAUGUAUUGUGAUGGGGCCUAAAUCAUAACUGAAAUUGUUCAUAUAUACCAUUUCUCUGUAGAAAUGACACCAGGGGUGAGGACACUACCUUUUCAGGUAUUUUUGACAUAAAUGGUAGAUUUGAAAUCGUAAUAAGCCAGUUCUCCAGGAUCAAUCUUUGGCGGUUUGAUAACUGCCAUUUUGAAGUUUAUUGGGACAUGUCCUAAAGAUAGCGAGGAGUUAAUAAUAUUAAGAAGAGGUUCUGAGAUUACAGGGAAUACAACUUUUAAGAGCUUAGUUGGUAUUGGAUCUAACAUACAUGUUGUGGCUUUUGAUUUUUUGAUUAGUUUUGUUAGCUCUUCAUUACCUAUGACAGCGAAGGAUUGAAGUUGCUUGUGACGAAAAUUAUGAGACACUGUUUUCUGAGGUGCUGUGACAGAUGAUUUCAUAGUUCCAAUUUUAUUUCAAUUUUAUCAGUAAAGAAAUUCAUGAAGUCAUUAUUAUUGUGCUGCGGCAGAAUAUCUAGUUCAGUCGAUGCUUUAUUCCUGAAUAAUUUAGCCACUGUACUGAAUAAACACCUAGAGUUGUUGUGGUUAUUUUCUAUGAGUUUGCUCAAAUAUGCGGACCUGGCCGCUUUUAGUGCCUGUUUGUACAGACAAUAUCCUUCCAUGCACUGCAAAAUACCUCUUAUGUAUUCUUCCACUUGCGCUCCAUUUUCAGAGCUGCUCUCUUGAGAGCACGAGAGUGAUCAUUGUACCAUGGUCAAUCUUUUUUUCUAAUUUUCUUUAAUCGAAGUGGGGUGACACAAUCAAGAGUGCUACAGAAGACUGUAUUUAUAUUUUCUGUUAUUACAUCAAGUUCUUCUAGACUUUUUGGCUUACUGAGUAUGUGAGACAAUUCUGGAAGAUUAUUAGUGAAGCUAUCUUUAGUGAUUGAAAUAAUAGAUCUACCGGAACAAUAGCAUGGUUUAGCUGAUCGCAGCAAACAAGAGAUGAGGUAAUGAUCUGAUAUGUCAUCACUCUGUGGUAGACUUUCUAUAGUAUCAACAUCAACUCCAUAUGACAGAAUUCAAUCUAGCAUAUGAUUAUGAUGAUUAGUUGGUCCUGUCACAUUUUUUCUGACUCCAAGAGAGUUGAGAAUAUUGAUAAAUGCUAAUCCCAAUGUGUAAUUUGCAUUAUCUACAUGAAUGUUGAAUUCACCAACAAGUAAAGCUCUAUCUACAUUAACUACAAGAUCUGAUAGAAAAAUUGUAAUUUCACCAAGGAAAUCUGAGUAUAGCCCGUGUGAUCUAAACGACAGAGAUUUUUUAUUUAUAUCUGACAGUGUCACAUUAAGCAUUAUUAGAGCAAAAGACUUACAUUUAUAUCCUGUCCUCUGAAUAACACCAAAAACUUCACUGUAAAUUGUAGCAACACUUCCACCCCAACCCUUCAGGCAUGGCUCAUGUUUAUAACAAUAACCUGGCGGAGUAGAUUCAUAUAAACUAAUACAGUCAUCCGGUUUAAGCCAGGUUUCAGUCAGAGCACAUCCAAAUUAUGAUCUGUAAUAAUUUCAUUUACAAUUAGUGUUUUGGUAGAAAGAUAUCUAAUGUUUAAUAGCCCUAUAUUUAUAUGAUGUCUAUCUUCAAAUUAUUAUUAUUAUUUAUUUUUUUAAGUUUGAACUUAAUCACAUUUUUUAUAAAUGACUUAGUGAUGGGUUUGAGUUAGGUAGUUUGGGGAACAGACACAGUCUUUAUAUGAUAUCUAGGUGAUACAGUCUCUAUGUGUUGUAAAUUAUGUGACCUGUGUGACGUCUCAAAGCAGACAUUUGUAUUAACCAGAUUGUAUGCUUCCUUAGCUGGGCCCCAAUUAGCCAAAUACUAUCACUGUUAAGACAAUGAGCCAAAUUACUUGAGAGGAGAACGUCACCUUCCCUGGAGGGAUGGCGUCCGUCUCUCUUUAGCAGGUCAGGUCUACCCCAAAAAGUCUUCCAAUUGUUUAUAAAUCCUAUGCUAUUCUCCGGACACCACUCAGACAUCCAGCCGUUCAGUGACGCUAAUUUACUAUAAACCUCAUCACCACGACAACAGGGAGGGGGCCAGAGCAUAUUACAGUGUCUGACAUUGUUUUUGCAAGAUCACACACCUCUUUAACAUUAUCUUUAGUGAUCUGUGACUGGCAAAGCCAGUCAUUGUUAGUGCUUACAAGAAUAACAAUUUUAGAAAAUCUACAUUUAGCAUUAGCCAGCACUUGUAAAUUUGAUCGGAUGACAGACACUCGAGCCCCGGAAAUGCAUUUAACGAUGGUGGCUGGAGUCUCUAUUUUCAUGUUCCUUACAAUAGAAUCACCAAUUAUUAAGGCUCUUUCAACAUGAUUCUCAGUGGGUGCAUCACUGAGUGGAGAGAAUCGAAUGGAACCCCUAACAGGAACAGGAGAGUGGUGUCACUUUGCUGAGCGAGUAUGAAGCCGAGAAGUCACCCAAACACCCUGCUGCAGCUGCUUUACAGCCUAACCAAAGUUGUGUGUUGCUCGCUGUUCUACCCAUAUCCAAAACAGUAUCUACCGGCUUUUCUCACUGACCUCCACAAGCGUUCGGUGUCUCUAACUCAUUAAACUUCUCCUUCGGCCUGACUAAUUCCUUACAUUUAUCACAUGUAAACCCAUCACUGCUGACAGAAAAGCUAUAGUAAACAUGUGACAUGCAAUGCAGUAAGAAAUAACAUGAGCGA
This is a long non-coding RNA of Xyrauchen texanus (razorback sucker), 4952 nucleotides long. RefSeq lists it as uncharacterized. The transcript has 3 exons. NCBI's taxonomy places the organism in Eukaryota, Metazoa, Chordata, Actinopteri, Cypriniformes, Catostomidae. The record is from RefSeq and is a predicted model, not a curated record.